Molecule: ribosomal RNA, 254 nt
Filed under: uncultured bacterium
Lineage: Bacteria
Description: partial 16S ribosomal RNA
Rfam family: Bacterial small subunit ribosomal RNA
Source: RNAcentral
UACGUAGGGUGCAAGCGUUGUCCGGAAUUAUUGGGCGUAAAGAGCUCGUAGGCGGUCAGUCGCGUCUGCUGUGAAAACUCGGGGCUUAACUCCGGGCCUGCAGUGGGUACGGGCUGACUAGAGUGCGGUAGGGGAGACUGGAAUUCCUGGUGUAGCGGUGAAAUGCGCAGAUAUCUGGAGGAAUACCGGUGGCGAAGGCGGCAUCCUGGACCGACAUUGACGCUGAGGAGCGAAAGCUAGGGGAGCAAACGGGG